GACGAACGCUGGCGGCGUGCUUAACACAUGCAAGUCGAACGGAAAGGCCCUGCGUUUGUGGGGUGCUCGAGUGGCGAACGGGUGAGUAACACGUGAGUAACCUGCCCUUGACUUUGGGAUAACUUCAGGAAACUGGGGCUAAUACCGGAUAGGAGCUCCUGCUGCAUGGUGGGGGUUGGAAAGUUUCGGCGGUUGGGGAUGGACUCGCGGCUUAUGAGCUUGUUGGUGGGGUAGUGGCUUACCAAGGCUUUGACGGGUAGCCGGCCCGAGAGGGUGACCGGCCACAUUGGGACUACGAUACGGCCCAGACUCCUACGGGAGGCAGCAGUGGGGAAUAUUGCACAAUGGGCGGAAGCCUGAGGCAGCAACGCUGCGUGCGGGAUGACGGCCUUCGGGUUGUAAACCGCUUUCGCCUGUGACGAAGCGUGAGUGACGGUAAUGGGUAAAGAAGCACCGGCUAACUACGUG
RNAcentral lists this ribosomal RNA (468 nucleotides) under uncultured bacterium. RNAcentral's name for it is "partial 16S ribosomal RNA". It matches the Rfam family "Bacterial small subunit ribosomal RNA", at positions 28 to 507 of the family's 1533-position model. The record is from RNAcentral.